Molecule: long non-coding RNA, 340 nt
Filed under: Anser brachyrhynchus (Pink-footed goose)
Lineage: Eukaryota; Metazoa; Chordata; Aves; Anseriformes; Anatidae
Description: lncRNA (ENSABRG00000016297.1)
Source: RNAcentral
ACCAAGUACAGCAGAUCCAAUAUGCUUGAAGCUCAGAUGCCUCCUGACAGCAUGACUCAUUCAAGGUUUCUUAAAGUCGUAUGUUGAUGACAUCCUACUGGAAAAGCUAAGCCAAAAAAGAUGUAUUGAAGUACUGUGAGAAGGAAAACUACAUAAAAACACAUAAAUGAAAAUAUACUAUUACAAGCACACAGUCAGUCAGUGAAUCAGACUUGCUUGUCCUGCCUUACCAACAGAUGUUUUAGUUUCCUCAUGAACAUUGUCUUCAUACAACUUGAGAAUGACACAAACACCAACAUGAGUAUAACCAAAUAAGAAAACCUUAUGAGCUACCUAAUGU